UGGGGAAUAUUGCACAAUGGGCGCAAGCCUGAUGCAGCCAUGCCGCGUGUGUGAAGAAGGCCUUCGGGUUGUAAAGUACUUUCAGCGGGGAGGAAGGCGUUAAGGUUAAUAACCUUGGCGACUGACGUUACCCGCAGAAGAAGCACCGGCUAACUCCGUGCCCGCAGCCGCGGUAAUACGGAGGGUGCAAGCGUUAAUCGGAAUUACUAGGCGUAAAGCGCACGCAGGCGGUCUGUCAAGUCGGAUGUGAAAUCCCCGGGCUCAACCUGGGAACUGCAUUCGAAACUGGCAGGCUAGAAUCUUGGAGAGGAGGGUAGAAUUCCAGGUGUAGCGGUGAAAUGCGUAGAGAUCUGGAGGAAUACCGGUGGCGAAGGCGGCCCCCUAGACAAAGAAUGACGCUCAGAUGCGAAAGCGUGGGGAGCAAACAGG
This 429-nucleotide ribosomal RNA is filed under the name Chloroflexota bacterium. RNAcentral's name for it is "Chloroflexi bacterium partial 16S ribosomal RNA". It matches the Rfam family "Bacterial small subunit ribosomal RNA", at positions 355 to 776 of the family's 1533-position model. Lineage: Bacteria; Bacillati; Chloroflexota. The record is from RNAcentral.